This 66-nucleotide transfer RNA is filed under the name Lichanura trivirgata (rosy boa). Its description in RNAcentral is "tRNA-Thr". It matches the Rfam family "tRNA". Rfam says of the family: Transfer RNA (tRNA) molecules are approximately 80 nucleotides in length. Lineage: Eukaryota; Metazoa; Chordata; Lepidosauria; Squamata; Ungaliophiidae. The record is from RNAcentral.
GCUCUAAUAGCUUAAACUAAAGCAUUGUUCUUGUAAACCAAAGUUGGGACCUUCCCCCUCAGAGCA